CCUACGGGAGGCAGCAGUGGGGAAUAUUGGACAAUGGGGGGAACCCUGAUCCAGCCAUGCCGCGUGUGUGAAGAAGGCCCGCGGGUUGUAAAGCACUUUCAGUGAGGAAGAACGCCUGGUGGUUAAUACCCAUCAGGAAAGACAUCACUCACAGAAGAAGCACCGGCUAACUCCGUGCCAGCAGCCGCGGUAAUACGGAGGGUGCGAGCGUUAAUCGGAAUUACUGGGCGUAAAGCGCGCGUAGGUGGCUUGAUAAGCCGGUUGUGAAAGCCCCGGGCUCAACCUGGGAACGGCAUCCGGAACUGUCAAGCUAGAGUGCAGGAGAGGAAGGUAGAAUUCCCGGUGUAGCGGUGAAAUGCGUAGAGAUCGGGAGGAAUACCAGUGGCGAAGGCGGCCUUCUGGACUGACACUGACACUGAGGUGCGAAAGCGUGGGUAGCAAACAGGAUUAGAUACCCCUGUAGUC
RNAcentral lists this ribosomal RNA (465 nucleotides) under Vreelandella stevensii. Its description in RNAcentral is "partial 16S ribosomal RNA". It matches the Rfam family "Bacterial small subunit ribosomal RNA", at positions 338 to 795 of the family's 1533-position model. The record is from RNAcentral. Lineage: Bacteria; Pseudomonadati; Pseudomonadota; Gammaproteobacteria; Oceanospirillales; Halomonadaceae.